This 497-nucleotide ribosomal RNA is filed under the name uncultured bacterium. RNAcentral's name for it is "partial 16S ribosomal RNA". It matches the Rfam family "Bacterial small subunit ribosomal RNA", at positions 28 to 507 of the family's 1533-position model. The record is from RNAcentral.
GACGAACGCUGGCGGCGUGCCUAAUACAUGCAAGUUGAGCGCUGAAGGUUGGUACUUGUACCGACUGGAUGAGCAGCGAACGGGUGAGUAACGCGUGGGGAAUCUGCCUUUGAGCGGGGGACAACAUUUGGAAACGAAUGCUAAUACCGCAUAAAAACUUUAAACACAAGUUUUAAGUUUGAAAGAUGCAAUUGCAUCACUCAAAGAUGAUCCCGCGUUGUAUUAGCUAGUUGGUGAGGUAAAGGCUCACCAAGGCGAUGAUACAUAGCCGACCUGAGAGGGUGAUCGGCCACAUUGGGACUGAGACACGGCCCAAACUCCUACGGGAGGCAGCAGUAGGGAAUCUUCGGCAAUGGACGAAAGUCUGACCGAGCAGCGCCGCGUGAGUGAAGAAGGUUUUCGGAUCGUAAAACUCGGUUGGUAGAGAAGAACGUUGGUGAGAGUGGAAAGCUCAUCAAGUGACGGUAACUACCCAGAAAGGGACGGCUAACUACGUG